ACUCAAAGGAAUUGACGGGGGCCCGCACAAGCGGUGGAGCAUGUGGUUUAAUUCGAUGCAACGCGAAGAACCUUACCAAGGCUUGACAUGGACGUGCCCGGUGCAGAAAUGUACCUUCUACCUUCGGGUAGCGCGUCACACAGGUGGUGCAUGGUUGUCGUCAGCUCGUGUCGUGAGAUGUUGGGUUAAGUCCCGCAACGAGCGCAACCCCUGUCUUUAGUAGCCAGCACGUAAUGGUGGGCACACUAAAGAGACUGCCGUGGAGAACACGGAGGAAGGUGGGGAUGAUGUCAAAUCAUCAUGCCCCUUAUGUCUUGGGCUACACACGUGCUACAAUGGCGCAUACAAAGUGAAGCGAAACGGCGACGUGGAGCUAACCCCGAAAGUGCGCCUCAGUUCGGAUUGCAGUCUGCAACUCGACUGCAUGAAGUUGGAAUCGCUAGUAAUCGCGAAUCAGCAUGUCGCGGUGAAUACGUUCCCGGGCCUUGUACACACCGCCCGU
This 502-nucleotide ribosomal RNA is filed under the name uncultured bacterium. Its description in RNAcentral is "bacterial SSU rRNA". It matches the Rfam family "Bacterial small subunit ribosomal RNA", at positions 899 to 1397 of the family's 1533-position model. The record is from RNAcentral.